CAUCAUUCUUUUCUACAGCAUCGCCUACAUCUUCAGCAGUUGGAGCUGCAACUUCUUCCUCACUGGUUGGUGACUUGGCCGUGCUAGUGGCUGCAAUGGCCUCAUUCUAGACAACUAGUUCAACACUCCUUGUUGGCAACGGUUCUUCAACGAUUGGAAUGGUUGCAUGUUCUCCUUCCAACCUCUACAGAAAAAUGGAUUCCAUUUCCUUUAAGACUAUGGCCGUAGUGCGGAUUGCUAUUGGCUCCUGCUGGAUGUGUUCAUCGCCACUGGCAUCAUGCACAUGGAUGGUUU
Molecule: long non-coding RNA, 294 nt
Filed under: Amborella trichopoda
Lineage: Eukaryota; Viridiplantae; Streptophyta; Magnoliopsida; Amborellales; Amborellaceae
Description: long non-coding RNA (ATRI_LNC003365)
Source: RNAcentral